GCUCAACGAUCAAUCUAAUUAGAAGGUCUUCUCCCUUAUCACAAACAGUGAGUUCCUAUCAUUCUUCAUUUAAGAAAUUUCUCCAAAGACUUGUGCAUGCAUGUUAGUUUUGAGAAUUUUUACAAGAAAAUUAUGUUUUUGUUUUCGGGGAAAAAUGAGGAGUUUUUGAUGAAAUUUCUUUCAAUUAGAUUGUUAAGAAAUGUUUUAGGUGCAUGCAUUUGGUUUUAUUUACUAAUGGAUAGAAAAUUCUAUUUUUUUAUCCCAAAUAUUCAAUGCAUGAGAGGUGUUUGAUGAAAAUACUGCGAUAACUGCUGCAGGCAGGUCACGUGACCUACAGCUCGGCCUUCGCUAUUUGAGACUUCCUCUACCCACAUCUCUAUGUGCCCGCAGCACUUCCAUAUGGAGAAAGAUAAGCUUACCAUGUUCCAUCAAUAGCACCUAACCUAUGCCGAUUUUGGCGGACUGUGCUCCACCCCGGUGAACUCAUGCGGUUCCGACGUGCCCCGAGGCCAGAGGCGAAUCCAUUCACGGUCCGUAGGACCAACACCAUUCGAAGGUGGGCGGCCUACCUAGAACAGUCAUGUUUGACUGGGCUUACACACAUUCGCUCACUUACGCUGUCCCCCCUCAGCUCACCCUAGCCCCGGGCCGGAGCUUUGUGGUAUUUAAGUUUGGUUUAAUAAAUAAAAACAAAACUAUGUAAACAAGUCUUAGAAUCAGAUUUUUCAUGAAUUAUUGAUUUCGAAUUUUGAGAUGAGACCAACUAUGUUGUGUUUAUAGGCGAGUUCUUUUUAUUAAAGGGUUUUUGUUGUUGUUGUUGUUGUUACGAUUAGGG
RNAcentral lists this long non-coding RNA (835 nucleotides) under Cicer arietinum (chickpea). RNAcentral describes it as "long non-coding RNA (CARI_LNC002047)". The record is from RNAcentral. Lineage: Eukaryota; Viridiplantae; Streptophyta; Magnoliopsida; Fabales; Fabaceae.